GUCCUUUAAUUUUAAACUUUACUGGCCCUUUAAGGUGGCCACACUUCUGAAGCUCCCAGGCACUGGAUCGUACUACCACAGGGCAAGGUAACCCCUCGGAAUACUUGGAAAAGCUCCAGAAAUAACAAGCCAUUUAUUAGAGCGAGCGGCCCUGCGGGACAAUGAAUAAAAACCUUUCCUCUCUUUAAUUGUUAGGCAUUGCCCAGGUGAUUGCACUCGUCCCUGGUAUACAGUAUUGAUUUCCUCUCUACACGCCGCACUCUCCUGUUCAUUUUCCAAUAACGUCUUUUGUAUUUUAUUGUGUUGUAUCUGCCUGUUCCCUUUGCUCCUCUUGUUUGUUUGUUUUCUGAUUGAUUCUUGGCUGUUGAAUGCCAGUCUUGAAUGCUGUAAAGUCGGAUAAUAGCUAUCUUGUGUAUUUAUUUUUU
Molecule: non-coding RNA, 425 nt
Organism: Pelobates cultripes (western spadefoot toad)
Lineage: Eukaryota; Metazoa; Chordata; Amphibia; Anura; Pelobatidae
Source: the annotation of a GenBank genome assembly